UGGGGGAUAUUGCACAUUGGAGGAGACUCUGAUGCAGCAACGCGGCGUGAGGGAAGAAGGUCUUCGGAUUGUAAAGCUUUGUCAGUGGGGAAGAUAAUGACGGUAGCUAGGGAGGAAGCCGCGGCUAAAUACGUGCCAGCAGCCGCG
RNAcentral lists this ribosomal RNA (147 nucleotides) under uncultured Clostridium sp. RNAcentral's name for it is "partial 16S ribosomal RNA". It matches the Rfam family "Bacterial small subunit ribosomal RNA", at positions 355 to 519 of the family's 1533-position model. Lineage: Bacteria; Bacillati; Bacillota; Clostridia; Eubacteriales; Clostridiaceae. The record is from RNAcentral.